This 497-nucleotide ribosomal RNA is filed under the name uncultured bacterium. Its description in RNAcentral is "partial 16S ribosomal RNA". It matches the Rfam family "Bacterial small subunit ribosomal RNA", at positions 28 to 507 of the family's 1533-position model. The record is from RNAcentral.
GAUGAACGCUGGCGGCGUGCCUAAUACAUGCAAGUCGAGCGAACAGACGAGGAGCUUGCUCCUCUGACGUUAGCGGCGGACGGGUGAGUAACACGUGGAUAACCUACCUAUAAGACUGGGAUAACUUCGGGAAACCGGAGCUAAUACCGGAUAAUAUAUUGAACCGCAUGGUUCAAUAGUGAAAGACGGUUUUGCUGUCACUUAUAGAUGGAUCCGCGCCGCAUUAGCUAGUUGGUAAGGUAACGGCUUACCAAGGCAACGAUGCGUAGCCGACCUGAGAGGGGGAUAGGCGACACUGGAGGGGAGACGGGCACACGAGUACUGCGACACGGACCAGACGCGAACGGGAGGCAACAGUCGAAAGUAUGACGCAGCGGGCGCGAGCGAGAUGCGGCGGCCCUGCGUGCGGGAUGACGUGUUACGGGUUGUGAACCGCUUUCGCCUGAAAUGAGGCGUGAGUGACGGUAACGGGUAAGAAAGCACCGGCUAACUACGUG